AAGAAAAACAUUUCACAAGACCAGUUUUAAUUACCUUCUAGGUUGCGCAUUAUUAUGUAGGAAUGUAACUCUAUAAUAAUUAUUAUAAGUGUAGGUACCUAUAACUAUUCAAGUUUCAACCCAUUAGGUUUCUAAGCUUUUUAUUUAUACAAAUACCUAUAAAUUUCAUUUUUCUGGAAUUAUUUUAAAAAGAACAGACUAUCAUGAUUGACAUGGCGUGUUAGUAUUUAGGUACAAUAAGCCUCUUAUGGAGUGCAGCCUUGUAACUGACGAUAAUUUAAUAAACAGGCUACGGUUUACAACAGUCUGAAUGUUUUUUCCAAACAAAACUUUUUCAGUAUGUACUUUGCAAAGUUAACCUUUUAUAGUGAAAUUUUACAUUGAAAUUAAGUAAUCAUUACUGUUUUAUAUUUUGUUUAGAAUAUUUUAUAUUAAUAUCAUUGAAUCUAUAGUAUAUAUAUGGUUCAUGGGUAAAGCAACAGAGGACGUCGGUAAUGUACCUAAUUAUAAACAAAUAAUGAUAAUAUUCUGAUGAACUAAGAUUAUCAUAUACUUCUGCAAAAUCAAUGAAUAUCCAGUGUCAUGGCAUACGUCGAUGUGCUUCAAAGU
This is a long non-coding RNA of Acyrthosiphon pisum (pea aphid), 609 nucleotides long. RefSeq lists it as uncharacterized. The record is from RefSeq and is a predicted model, not a curated record. Lineage: Eukaryota; Metazoa; Arthropoda; Insecta; Hemiptera; Aphididae. The transcript has 2 exons.